AGCAGCCGCGGUAAUUCCAGCUCCAAUGGCGUAUAUUAAAGUUGUUGCAGUUAAAAAGCUCGUAGUUGAAUUUCGGGGUUAGUAGGUUGGUCAUGCCUCUGGUAUGUACUGGUCUCACUGAUUCCUCCUUCCUGAUGAGCCGUAAUGCCAUUAAUUUGGUGUUGCGGGGAAUUUGGACUGUUACUUUGAAAAAAUUAGAGUGUUUAAAGCAAGCUAACGCUUGAAUACAUUAGCAUGGAAUAAUGAAAUAGGACGUUCGAUCCUAUUUUGUUGGUUUCUAGGAUUGACGUAAUGAUUAAUAGGGAUAGUUGGGGGCAUUAGUAUUCAAUUGUCAGAGGUGAAAUUCUUGGAUUUAUUGAAGACUAACUACUGCGAAAGCAUUUGCCAAGGAUGUUUUCAUUAAUCAAGAACGAAAGUUAGGGGAUCGAAGACGAUCAGAUACCGUCGUAG
Molecule: ribosomal RNA, 450 nt
Filed under: uncultured Glomeromycotina
Lineage: Eukaryota; Fungi; Glomeromycota
Description: SSU rRNA
Rfam family: Eukaryotic small subunit ribosomal RNA
Source: RNAcentral